GACGAACGCUGGCGGCGUGCUUAACACAUGCGAGUCGAACGGAAAGGCCCUGCUUUUGUGGGGUGCUCGAGUGGCGAACGGGUGAGCAACACGUGAGUAACCUGCCCUUGACUUUGGGAUAACUUCAGGAAACUGGGGCUAAUACCGGAUAGGAGCUCCUGCUGCAUGGUGGGGGUUGGAAAGUUUCGGCGGUUGGGGAUGGACUCGCGGCUUAUCAGCUUGUUGGUGGGGUAGUGGCUUACCAAGGCUUUGACGGGUAGCCGGCCUGAGAGGGUGACCGGCCACAUUGGGACUGAGAUACGGCCCAGACUCCUACGGGAGGCAGCAGUGGGGAAUAUUGCACAAUGGGCGGAAGCCUGAUGCAGCAACGCCGCGUGCGGGAUGACGGCCUUCGGGUUGCAAACCGCUUUCGCCUGUGACGAAGCGUGAGUGACGGUAAUGGGUAAAGAAGCACCGGCUAACUACGUG
This 468-nucleotide ribosomal RNA is filed under the name uncultured bacterium. Its description in RNAcentral is "partial 16S ribosomal RNA". It matches the Rfam family "Bacterial small subunit ribosomal RNA", at positions 28 to 507 of the family's 1533-position model. The record is from RNAcentral.